CCUAAGCCUGAGAAAACAGGGCCUCUGGCUUCUUGGCAGGGAGAGGUUCCAGAGAGUGCAGGGGAGGCCCUGCCUCCUUGGGUGGGGUGACCUGGGCCUCCUGGGACCUCAGUUCCCUGCCUGUGAAAAAGACGGACGGAGGUAGAGAAUCCCAGGGUGCCUUUCCAGGACUAAAGACGGUGCCUUCUUUAUGUAAAUUCCAUCCUUCGCAAGUUCACUGUGGAGCGCUCUCCCGGGGCCCAGUCUCUAGGCGCAGAACACCCAGCCAGGUGGUAGCUCUCCUUUGCAAAUUGUACUUUUUAAUGUGUCGUUGAGUUUGCUAAAGCAGGUUGCCCUGUGAGUAGAGUACAAGGCUGGUCGUCAGGCGGGGAGAGUGACAAUGUUUUGAAAUUGUUGAAUUUCCUGAGCAUGCACCAGGCUCAGUGUCUUGGAGCAGUGCGGGAAGGCUGGUGUUGCGGCGGCCUGAAGAAGCACAGCUGCAGAUGCUAACGCAGGCCUGGUGAGCAGGAAGCCGGGGCGUGGCUCAGGCGGAGGGGAGAGGCCGGGGCAGGUCUGGCCCGGCCAUGGGGGCCGGGCUCUGAGCUGGAGAGCAAGGAUGUGCCAUGUUCACCUUGAUAUUUGGGUUUUUGAAGAAAACCUGUAAAAGCUGUAAAACCCGAACCAUGAGGACACCCCAGGGGCACACAGUUCUGGAGGCUGAAAAUCAAGAUCAGGAUGCUGGCGUCUGACAAGGGCUUUCUUGCUGCAUCCUCACGUGGCGGAAAGUGGAAGGGCAAGAGAGAGCGAACCCAUCCUGAAAACCCCAGAUUACAGAGGCACUAAUCCAUUUAUGUGGGUGGAGCUCCCAUGACCCAAACACCUCCAAAGGCCCCACCUCCUGACAAUGUUGCACUGGGGAUUACAUUUCCAACACAUGAAUCUGGGGAGACAGAUUCAGACCACAGCAGAUGUCAAGGCUGGUUCAAAGGACAAUGUGAAGAACAAAGGCAUGCUGAAAUGAAUUUGAUAAUAGAUGCAAACUUGGGUAACAUCCUACAGGACAAUAAGGUGUAAGUAAUACUUGGGAUCAUCUUUCCUUAGACAUGAGCAUCAGUUGCAUCUACAGUGAACAACACUGAUUACAUUGCCAUAGAGGAAGCUUUGUGUUGCUCUCAGAUAAGAAGCAUGCACACUGCUGUAUUCUCUACAUGAACUUCUAUUCUACAGUUGUAAAAUAGUUCAGUCAAUAGAAAGCCAACCACAGAGACACACCUAGUGGUUUGUUUUUGCCUAUUUUUAAGUUUUUAAUAUUUUUUAUAACAGAUAUAACAUUGAAUCCAUAGUGAAGUUAAUCACUUUUUAAUUACCCAUUUUUCUAAUAAUUAAAUCAACAAGGGAGUCUCCUUUGGGUACCAAUCAAUCUCUAACCUUUCUAAACUUCUUGUUUGAAAAAGAGAAAGGCAGAAGUGGGCCUCAAGCAUGACGCCUUCAACUGACUGUACAAGCUAGCUGCAGUUUGAUGAUACUGUUGAAUUUUCUUUAUUAUAUUGUUACCUUUUAUUAAUGGCAAUGGAUAUAUUAGUUUUCCAUUUUUGGUUGAGAUAUGAGGCUUCCUUUAAAACAUAUUUAAGUAAAAAAGAAAAGUGAGUCAAUGUGUUUAAUUAAACAGCCAAAAGUAUUCAAAUGAUGAAUGAUAUAGAUGGGAUGAAUAGAAAGUCAUAGAAAAUUUAUGGUGAUCACUGAAGGUUGAGAAAAACCCAAUCUGAUGAGCACUCUGCUCCAUGUCAGGUCCUGCCUGUUGUGCUUGUCUCCCAGACUGUCUUUUAACUCUCACCUUCUUACAAAUAGUUGAAUCUUAAUAGCUAUUAUUACCUUACAUUUAACAAAAUAGGCAUAUGCAUAUUUUUUCAUUUUCUCCCUCUCCACUAAGGAAAACUUCAGAGAGAGAAAGAAUUUCUCCAGGGUCAAGCAUCCAGCUGAGCAUUCCAGUAGAGAAUGGCAGUGCUGGAAUCCCCCGCUGUUGUCCGGCUUCAAGACUCUUUUGCACUGUCUCCCAGCCCUGCUCCCAUGGGAGUUGUGGAGAAUUCCCAGGGUGAAGAAAGAACCUGGGGAUAGAGCCUCCUUUUUUCAUUUUUUCUUUCUUUUUUUUUUUUUUUUUGCGAUGGUCUUGCUCUGUCACCCAGGCUUGGAGUGCAGUGGUGUGAUCUUGGCUCACUGCAGCCUCAAUCUCCCAGGUUCAAGUGAUCCUUCCUCCUCAGUCUCCAGAGUAGCUGGGACUACAGGUAUGCACCACCAUGCCUGGCUAAUUUUUGUGUUUUUAGUAGAGAUGGGCUUUCAUCAUGUUGGCCAGACUGGUCUCAAACUCCUGACCUCAGGUGAUCCACCUGCCUCAGCCUCCCGAAGUGCUGGGAUUAUAGGCAUGAGCCACUGUGCCCGGCCUCAUUUUUCUUUUCCUUUUUACAGAAAUGGAAAUCACAUGGUAGGUCAUAAGGAGCUGACAGGGCUGGAGUUCCAGUGAGUAUCUGCCCCGGCAGUGCGGCAGCAGACGGGAAGGGUGGGAGGUCAUCUGAGCUGGUAGGGUGAGAACAAAUAUAAAUCUCAGGGGGGAUCCACAAGGGAGCCCAUGUCUUUGGUGCCACACAAAUGCAGUAAGAGCUGUGGACACCAGGGAAUACCAGGGAGUGUUUAAAAGCCCCACAGGCAGAACACACGCAGAGAAAGCAGGAGACUAGGCACUGUGGGUUCUUGGGAAAGAGCUGAUUUUAGUUGCAAAAGCAGAGGAAACCCCAGACAUUGCAUGGCUUUAGGCUUUAGGCUUUAGCCCCACCACCCUCACAAGUCUUCUGUCUCCAGGGGGCCAUCAGUGCCUCAGUUCCACUCGGUGCAGACCCCAGGGUUCUUCCCACCCCUGCAAGCCACCCAUCAGGGUGAACUGAGAGAUCAGCAGAGUCACUUACAACGAAGGGGAAUUGUUCUGGGCAUUGGUUAGUAAACAGGAGAGCAAAAGGGGAGAAGAAAAUUGUGUACAGGCGUUGAGCAUCUCUAGCCGAAGAAGGUGAGGCAUAGAGGUGUCUUACCACCAGGAACAGAUCUGAGUCAUGCAGCACCAAAAUACGUAUUUGAGUCAUGGCAUCAAAACGUUCCUGGUGGUGAAUUCAUGUCCGUGCGGGUCUGCAGCAAUCUCAAUUCUUGCCUCCUCAGAAGAAAGAAUUCGACUGAGGGGCAUGAGGCAGAAAGAGAGAUCGGAGCCAGUUUCAGAACAGGAGUGAAAGUUUAUUAAAAGGCUUUAGAACAUGAAUGAAAGGAAGGAAAGGAUACUUGGAGAAGGACCAAGCAGGCAUCUUGAAAGGCAAGUGCUUUUUUUUUUUUUUUUCAUUUUUUAACCCCUUCCUAAUGUCACUGGAAUAAGAGGCCUGUCCCAGACCCCAAGAGCGGGUUCUUGGAUGUUGGAUGAGGAACAAUUCCAGGUGAGUGGCAGAGUAUAGUAAAGUUAAAAUCGUUUAUCAGAGACCACUCGGUUACAGAGUAGGAUGUCCUCCAAAAGCAAGAGAAGGAACGCGCACACCUUAAAUACGAUUCUUAUUUAUAUAGGUUAACAGAGCUAAGAAGAGAGGUCUUUUGUGCUUUAUUACAGAGGCUGGUGAUCAGCUUCUGACAGGCUAUUAGUAUUAUUUUCCUAUGUUACUACUGAUUUCAGCAAGGAUUUACGAAUGUACUAUUAACCUUAAAUCAAAACCUACUCUUAAACUAAGAAUGCUUUUUGUUCUUAAAAUAUUAAGAGAUUGCCAUAAAAUUCUGCGUCUUUAUUUAGUUAGCAUCAUUAACUUGUUCCCUCAACCAUAAACAUCUUGUGCCCAAGAGUGCCUACCCCCUGGGGGUGUAACCCUGCAGGCAUGGCUAUAUCCCACAUUUAUUAAAG
RNAcentral lists this long non-coding RNA (3898 nucleotides) under Homo sapiens (human). RNAcentral's name for it is "HSALNT0197465". Lineage: Eukaryota; Metazoa; Chordata; Mammalia; Primates; Hominidae. The record is from RNAcentral.